AUUGGUAACCAUUACCUCUCCAAGUGUAUCUCUUCGAUAUAUGUAGCAAUGUGUUGGACCUAUAUUUUUCGGAGUCCACUAGGAGGUUAUUCGGUGUCGCUUUAAACGUGGCCACUGUAAAGAGAGUCACCCCGAUAUAACUUUUUUUUUACAUUAAAGAUAGACGUAGUCAUUUAGCCACCGUCCGUAUUUUUAUUAUAGUGUAAAAAAAAAAUGUUUUUAUGUUUUGCUAAACUCUUAGGUUAGUCUUUCCGGCUUGUCAGCUCGCUCUACUCUGUGGCGGCUGAAGAAAAAAAGAACCAGUUGGCAAGCGAAGCGAACGCUCGGAGCCAGCAGCAAACUAGCCAUUUCAUCGUUUAUUUUUGUCGUAAGCAUUGGCUUACUUGUGAAGAUUGUUUCGUUUUAUCCUAAAGACUGUUUGGAGUUUGUCUGCCUUGGAUUACGGAUAUUACACAUUUCCCUGUAUUAAACAUUAACUGUGCUAGCUAGCUAAACAUUUUAUUUGUGCGACGACAGCUGUCAUUUGGAGAAGGAAAAGUGAUCCGUCAUGCGUGAGAAAUUAAGCUGAUUUCUACUGGAUUUACAUUUUAACAUCCUUCAAAUGGGCGACGUUAACGUUCAAUAUUUGAGAACUGCGGUGGUAUUGCCUUAGUAACUAGUGUGGCCACCUAGCUUGCUACUUAUACUUAUCGUUGGACAGAAGACAGCUAGUUAGCUGGCUAUAUCAUUCAUUCAGCCUCAUAAAUACACUAACUACAAAGUGAUAUAACUAUAGCAAUAUCGCUUACAAUUUUGGACAUGAAGAAAAUAACCUACUAUUCAUAGGGUUGAAAGAAUGUCAUCAGAGGAUAAGACUGUGGAGCCCUCUGACCAGGGACCCUCGCUGCCCUCUGUUAGUGCAGGGGCCACGUCCACAGGAAGCCCUGCCCAGACAGACAAGCGCCCCAGGGGCAGACCACGCAAGGAUGCUACCACCACCAUCGUACCCCAGGCUCUACCCACAACUACAUCCAAGACCAGGAAGAAGGGGCGUACCAGAGGUAGAGUGGUUGUGGAGGAGGAGGACAGCAGCAUGGACGGGACAGAGGCAGCCGCUUCAGAGAGCCCCCUCAGGACACAACAGGGUCUGAUUUGAGGAGAUGGGGGAGAUGAGCCCCUGGUUCCAGACAUCAGGAAAGCAGCCAGAAGUUACACUGAACAAAAAUGUAAACACAACAUGUAAAGUGUUGGUAUCAUGUUCUGUGAGCUGAAAUAAAAGAUCCUAGAAAUGUUUCAUACGCAC
This is a long non-coding RNA of Oncorhynchus tshawytscha (Chinook salmon), 1282 nucleotides long. NCBI's taxonomy places the organism in Eukaryota, Metazoa, Chordata, Actinopteri, Salmoniformes, Salmonidae. The record is from Ensembl.